UCUAGCGGCUUCAAGACAAUCAUUAGGGAAAUGAUAAAAAUAGGUUCCCUUAUUGAUUUAUCCCUUUUACCCAAUGCUCCUUCCUUCAACCAGUUGACUGGUUUCCUUAGCAACACAGCUAAUUUGAGCAGCAUGGCUCGGCCUGCACACCUGCCAUUUGUUUAGUUCCUUCUUUAGUAGAGAAAGCUGGGGCAAGGCAGAGGGUGGGCCUAGUGCUGCUAUGGUGCUGGCUUUGCUUACCAACAGAGCCCCAGGAACCCGGUUGGAGCUCGUGCCUUGCACUGCUCUGCAAGCAAAGCUACCCUGACCCAAGCCAACAUCUCAGAGACACAUCUGCAGGCUGAAUUCCAGAGUUCCCGGGGUGCUCCAGCUCUUUCACAACAGCCUGCAAGCACCCAAACCUCACACUUACUAACAGAAGGAUAAGGAAGCCUCAGAAGAUAAAGGGGUCAGAGAGGAGAUGAUGGAGCAGAGAAAGAACACAAAUGAAAGAGAAGAGAAAAUGGAAUCAAAAGAGCCCUGGGUUCUACUUGACACUCGGUCACUUACUGAUUCGUGGUGACACAUAGCCGAUGGAGGUCUCAUUUAUUAAACAGCCCUGUCCAGAGACAUUGAAUGUGUGGCUAAAACCGGAGCAAUGAAAUGCUGGAGUCCCAUCACCUGCGUUCAAGUUCACUGGAGAUGGCCUUGGAAAAUAGUUUAACCUUCUUUAGCCUCAGAUUCCCCAUGGCCCCAUGAGACAAUGGUGUGAAAAUUGAGAAGAGUGACACAGUUUAAAAACUUUCAACUCACAGAGAACCUAAAAGGCUGAGAGGGACCGUGAAGGAUUCAUGUUUCUCCUCCCCCACGUUUGCAGAGCUUCCUUUCUGGUCCAGAAGGUCACUCACACCACCAUGUGCCUUGACAAUGACACCACAGUCUCAUCCCCAGAAAGAUCCAUUCAUGAUGCUACCCAGAACACUUCUUUUUCCACUAAGCAGUACCUACUGUGCAGCUACAUCUCAUAUUUUUGAGCCUCUCAGAAGGGCAGAAGGAAAAGCCUCGAACACAGUUUCCAGAUUCUUCAGCGAUGCCAUGCAGAUACAACAAAAACAGCAGGACCAAUGCCGCUGAAAAAGUAAAGCCCCGAGAUGACACAGCUGUUGGCAGUGAUGAGCUCAAUUCUCAUGGACCAAAAGACCACACGUGGUGCAGGUACAGCACAGGUCCUCUCUCCAAAGCCCUACACAAUAGGAUUGGAUCUCACGACCCUGAGACUGGCACCUGGGUGCUACAUUCCCAAGCCUGGGGUUCAGUCUCUGACAUUGUGGGGUGGAGGAACAACCCCCAGGAAGUAGUCACUGCUCUAUUAGGAGGAUAGCUCACAUAAAUGACUUUCAAGUCAUUGUUACUGUUUCCUUUGAUGUAGCUCGUCUUCCCUCCCUUAAGGACAUACAUUCCAGUGACUCUUUUGCUUUCCAGAGACAGGGAUAUGAGAAUCGUCAGAGUUUAUGGGCAAAACAUUUAGAAUACUCCUCGAAUAUCGACACAUCACAGACAUUUCCUUGAAACAGGCUGUACACACAAGACAACACUAGAUCAGAGGAGCCUACAAACUUUGCGUUGUACUUUCUGUCCUUAAGACUGAUGCUGGAGACAUCAUGGGAAAGCCCACACAAGUCCUCUCUGUGUAGGCUAAGACUAUGAUAAGGGAAAUGAUGUAUAGCUCUCAUAUCUCUGGACCUUUUUUUUUUAAGGGACUGAUUUAAGAGCCGUGGGACACGAUGGUGACGGUGGUGGUGGCAGCAGUAGUGGGGGACCCUCUACAACACCACACCCCAAUUCCAACCUGAAUUCUUACUGGAACUUAAAAUGUUUAUUAGAAACCUGCUUCUUAGAACAGGGGUUCAACAUUUGUCAAUAUGAAAAUGGCAAAUUAACAUGUAGAGUCUGGGUGACAAAUACUUAGGGACAUAAAUACCUUAAUUAUGGUCCAUAAGUAAAAGGCAAUCAACUAUUUAUUUGUCAGAUACUCAAAUGCAUCAGGCUGCAGACAGUUAUUAUAAAAAAUGGCAAGAAAUAACAUGUUUAAAGGUUUUCCUCCAAGCUGCCUUUCUCUGUAUCUCCGUUUUACCAUAGACAACAGAAGACUUGAGAGAAAAUGCUGAUUUCUGAUACUGUCCCUUUGCAAAAGACCAUUGUCCUAUCUAAGCAGAGGUAAAUAACCUCGCUUUUUUGAAAAUUCUAGGAAAAACCCACAUCGGCAGUGAAUUAUUCACAAAGAUUGGACCUAAAAAUGAGAGAGGGAGAGCUACAGAUAAAACGAUAGGUAGAAGGCUUAGCCAAAAGAGAAAGUGAGGACCUGCCCUCUGGCUCCCUGAGUAAACAGUAUUGACUAUAUUGCAUUAGGCCCACCCUUUCAUGUCUUUGUGGUCAGUGGUAAACAGACCGGCAGUCUGUCCUCUGCAGGACUGGACUGUAGGUGGGAGAUGGUGUCCUGUGAGGGCAGCUUCCUUGGUGGCCCUAAGCAAGGGACUAGGAAGGACAACAAUCUGCUCAUUCAACAGGUAGAAUCAAUGGGUUUGCAAGAACUCUGACAGCUUAGCCAGUCUUGACUCAUUUUUGUUUUAAGCAAGAGCACAAAGUCUGGAAGAAACCAGAUGUUCCUAUGAAAAGAGAAGAAAGAAGUGGGGAGGGGUCACCUGUAUCUUGUACAGUACAAGCUGAAAAGCGAUAAACAGUGUUCAGUGGAGCCGCUAAAUCCAGUCUAGAUCUUUUGGUUGAAAGAAAGGUCUGCGCUCAUUAUUUUCCUCCUCUUCCUUUCACUCAUACUGUGUGCUACACCUAUUGAAAGGGAGGCAAUGGCAGCAAAGUGGGGGAGGAGGAAUAACAGCAUGCAAGUCAAUAGACGAAACUAUCACACCCAAGAUAUUUUUGCUCUCAUCCUCAAGGCAAAUUUCUUUCCUGUCAAAUUCUUUCAUUCCAACUCACUUUCCAGGCUGUAUCCCAGUUACAAAGAAUCCUUACUAUUAUUUUGGCCAGGCUUCUAGAAGACUCAUAACCCUCACUAUUCUUGGUUGUCAACUUGACUAUAUCUAGAAUGAACUGUAAUCCAGAAAUGGAGGGAACACUUGUGAUUUGGAUCUUGAGACAGGAAGAAAACACGCUUUUGAUCCGGAUCUUGGGAUGGGAAGGCACACCUUUAAUCUGGAAGACACCUUGCUGAAAGCCUAUAUAAAAACAAUGGAUGAAGGGAGGUUUGCUUUGAUCUUCACCUGCCUGCCUUUGCCUUGUCAGACAUCCAUUCCUUCACUGGCAUUGCAAACUACUUCUUUGAGAUUCCAGCAUAAGCAAAAGACCAGUUGAGACACCCAGCCUUGUGGGAUUGAGCAACUACCUGAUUCUUAGAGUUUCCAUUCACAGAAACACCUCAUAUAAAGAUAAAAGAUAAAACCAAUAGGCAAUAGAGAGACUAUUCUAGGAAACCCAGAAAUCAAAGAUCUCGAUCAUUUAUCCCUUGUGCCAACUACAGCCACAGAAUCAAUGCAAUGGAAAGUCAGUGGAAAAUAUGAGGGCUUUGUAUCAACCGACCACUGGAUUCAAUUACAGAUCUCAUCCUCGUUAAUCCCCGAUCUGUCUCAUGUCAAGACUCAUGAUUCACUGGAGUUACAUCAAACCUGAAUUUCUUAUCAGGCCUGUAGUUUACUAUCUUGCAAGACACGUAUAUUUAGAGGCAACAAGAAAAGAAGAGUAUAUGCCAAAACGAGAGAUUUGACACUUUCCAUAAUCCUCAAGAAAAUCCUCCAGAUAAAUUUACAAUUUCGCUGAACAAUUUACUUGGGGGGGGGGGUAAUCUGUGAUAUACACACAUAGCCUCAGACCAGUUUCUAAAAUGCUCUAAGGAGAUCCACAAGAAAUCAUGCUUUUGCAGCCACAGGUUCAUUAUAAUGAGCUUCAUCAGCUCAAAGGCUGCAAACAUAUUUGAUCUUCCUACUCUGAAUUAUGUUAAUUUCCACAUAAAACAUGUGCUUCCUGGUGAGAUGACCAAAUAGGUGAAGGAGGAAAAAUCUCCUACUGCCCAUCUAUGAUUAGAGCCUCCAAGUCAGACAUGUCAUUUCUUCCCUUCACCUCUGACCUGGAAAAGUGAAAAUGAGGGUGGGCUGUCUCACAAACUACGUGAGAGAUCCCAAGAGUCUACCCACAGGGCAUCUGUCCCUGAGCAAAAACAGUCAG
This is a long non-coding RNA of Mesocricetus auratus (golden hamster), 4212 nucleotides long. RefSeq lists it as uncharacterized. NCBI's taxonomy places the organism in Eukaryota, Metazoa, Chordata, Mammalia, Rodentia, Cricetidae. The record is from RefSeq and is a predicted model, not a curated record. The transcript is spliced from 5 exons.